This 83-nucleotide transfer RNA is filed under the name Enterobacter roggenkampii. RNAcentral's name for it is "tRNA-Pro". The stretch from base 17 to 77 matches the Rfam family "tRNA", at positions 7 to 64 of the family's 71-position model. Rfam says of the family: Transfer RNA (tRNA) molecules are approximately 80 nucleotides in length. Their secondary structure includes four short double-helical elements and three loops (D, anti-codon, and T loops). The record is from RNAcentral. Lineage: Bacteria; Pseudomonadati; Pseudomonadota; Gammaproteobacteria; Enterobacterales; Enterobacteriaceae.
GGCUAUAGCUCAGUUGGUAGAGCAGCUUGGUAGCGCAACUGGUUUGGGACCAGUGGGUCGGAGGUUCGAAUCCUCUCUCGCCG